UUGAAGAGUUUGAUCAUGGCUCAGAUUGAACGCUGGCGGCAGGCCUAACACAUGCAAGUCGAGCGGUAGCACAGAGAGCUUGCUCUCGGGUGACGAGCGGCGGACGGGUGAGUAAUGUCUGGGAAACUGCCUGAUGGAGGGGGAUAACUACUGGAAACGGUAGCUAAUACCGCAUAACGUCGCAAGACCAAAGUGGGGGACCUUCGGGCCUCAUGCCAUCAGAUGUGCCCAGAUGGGAUUAGCUAGUAGGUGGGGUAACGGCUCACCUAGGCGACGAUCCCUAGCUGGUCUGAGAGGAUGACCAGCCACACUGGAACUGAGACACGGUCCAGACUCCUACGGGAGGCAGCAGUGGGGAAUAUUGCACAAUGGGCGCAAGCCUGAUGCAGCCAUGCCGCGUGUGUGAAGAAGGCCUUCGGGUUGUAAAGCACUUUCAGCGGGGAGGAAGGCGGUGAGGUUAAUAACCUCAUCGAUUGACGUUACCCGCAGAAGAAGCACCGGCUAACUCCGUGCCAGCAGCCGCGGUAAUACGGAGGGUGCAAGCGUUAAUCGGAAUUACUGGGCGUAAAGCGCACGCAGGCGGUCUGUCAAGUCGGAUGUGAAAUCCCCGGGCUUAACCUGGGAACUGCAUUCGAAACUGGCAGGCUAGAGUCUUGUAGAGGGGGGUAGAAUUCCAGGUGUAGCGGUGAAAUGCGUAGAGAUCUGGAGGAAUACCGGUGGCGAAGGCGGCCCCCUGGACAAAGACUGACGCUCAGGUGCGAAAGCGUGGGGAGCAAACAGGAUUAGAUACCGGUAGUCCACGCCGUAAACGAUGUCGAUUUGGAGGUUGUGCCCUUGAGGCGUGGCUUCCGGAGCUAACGCGUUAAAUCGACCGCCUACGGCCGCAAGGUUAAAACUCAAAUGAAUUGACGGGGCCCGCACAAGCGGUGGAGCAUGUGGUUUAAUUCGAUGCAACGCGAAGAACCUUACGGUCUUGACAUCCACAGAACUUUCCAGAGAUGGAUUGGUGCCUUCGGGAACUGUGAGACAGGUGCUGCAUGGCUGUCGUCAGCUCGUGUUGUGAAAUGUUGGGUUAAGUCCCGCAACGAGCGCAACCCUUAUCCUUUGUUGCCAGCGGUCCGGCCGGGAACUCAAAGGAGACUGCCAGUGAUAAACUGGAGGAAGGUGGGGAUGACGUCAAGUCAUCAUGGCCCGACCGGGGCUACACGUGCUACAAUGGCAUAUACAAAGAGAAGCGACCUCGCGAGCAAGCGGACCUCAUAAAGUAUGUCGUAGUCCGGAUUGGAGUCUGCAACUCGACUCCAUGAAGUCGGAAUCGCUAGUAAUCGUGAAUCAGAAUGCUACGGUGAAUACGUUCCCGGGCCUUGUACACACCGCCCGUCACACCAUGGGAGUGGGUUGCAAAAGAAGUAGGUAGCUUAACCUUCGGGAGGGCGCUUACCACUUUGUGAUUCAUGACUGGGGUGAAGUCGUAACAAGGUAACCGUAGGGGAACCUGCGGUUGGAUCACCUCCUU
RNAcentral lists this ribosomal RNA (1516 nucleotides) under Klebsiella pneumoniae. RNAcentral's name for it is "bacterial SSU rRNA". It matches the Rfam family "Bacterial small subunit ribosomal RNA". Lineage: Bacteria; Pseudomonadati; Pseudomonadota; Gammaproteobacteria; Enterobacterales; Enterobacteriaceae. The record is from RNAcentral.